This 877-nucleotide long non-coding RNA is filed under the name Hordeum vulgare. RNAcentral describes it as "long non-coding RNA (HVUL_LNC010807)". The record is from RNAcentral. Lineage: Eukaryota; Viridiplantae; Streptophyta; Magnoliopsida; Poales; Poaceae.
GAUUACAUUAUAGACGGCAAAGAAACGCAACCUUUGCUGUCAGCUUACUAAUUUACAGAUGACAAUGUUUUUUUAAUUAAAAAAUCACAGGACACCUGAAGAACAAAACAUUUUCCAUAACAACUUAUAUAGAUCGAUUUAUGCAAAAUUUGGUACAAUCGAUUUGUAGGACACUUGACCAUCAAAUAUUUGCUGCUACAACUUUCUUUGUAAAUCAAUUUACAAAACAGAUCUGAACAUCAACAUUUUUCAGAAUCGUUUACAAAUUUCAGGUACACAGAAAGAGGCAGUCAGGGGCAUUGAAUCAUUUGCGUUGGGCUCAGGGGCUGCUCCCUGCGACGGUCGGUGGUGAGAGAUGCGAUGUCGGACAGUGGUGCGGGUAGAGCCGGGCUCUGACAGGUGGACAUGGGCACAGACGGCUGGCGGGCCACGGACGGCCGCGUGAGGGUUGCUCCAGCUGAUGGGGGGUCGGGGCCUCCGGCCGCACGACCGGCUGCUCGGGGCGACGGUUGAGGGCCGAGGCCGGCAGCGCCAUGGCCGGCCACGUGAGGGUGCUCGGGGCGACGGGGGAGGGCCAGGGCCGGCGGUGCCAUGGCUUGCCGUGUGUCGCUACUUGGGGCAACGGGGAAGGGCCGGGCCGGCGGCGCCAUGGCCGGCCGCGCAAGGUGCUCGGGGAUACGGGGAUGGCCAGUGGCAUAGCGGUGGUCGGGGCGGCGAGUGGAGGAGCGAGAGCGGCAGCUGGUGGGGCGAACGACGGCGACAGACAGUGGCGGCGGGAGACAGUCGGUCGUGCAGCUACACGAGAAAGAGAGAAAGGUAGGCACGAGAGAGAGAGAGAGAGNGAGAGAGAGAGAGAGAUAGAGAGAGAGAGAGAGAU